UACAGAGGUCUCAAGCGUUGUUCGGAUUCAUUGGGCGUAAAGGGUGCGUAGGUGGCGCCGUAAGUCAGGUGUGAAAUCUCGGGGCUCAACCCCGAAACUGCACUUGAUACUGCGGUGCUCGAGUACUGGAGAGGAGAUUGGAAUUUACGGUGUAGCAGUGAAAUGCGUAGAUAUCGUGAGGAACACCAGAGGCGAAGGCGGUUACCUGGACAGUUACUGACGCUCAGGCACGAAAGCAUGGGGAGCAAAAGGG
RNAcentral lists this ribosomal RNA (253 nucleotides) under uncultured bacterium. RNAcentral describes it as "partial 16S ribosomal RNA". It matches the Rfam family "Bacterial small subunit ribosomal RNA", at positions 524 to 776 of the family's 1533-position model. The record is from RNAcentral.